Non-coding RNA from Salvelinus sp. IW2-2015, 483 nucleotides. Lineage: Eukaryota; Metazoa; Chordata; Actinopteri; Salmoniformes; Salmonidae. The record is from RefSeq and is a predicted model, not a curated record.
GAAACUGUGAAAGUCAUAGCGUUAUUGUUACGGCUGUAUGGUUUUGUUGCGUUGAGGAGAAAGAAAAAAGAGUCCCUGAAAUCACCAUAAAGUCCAUACAGCAUUUCAACUAAAACAUUUCAAACAUACAGCAUUGAAUACAUACGGCAUUAAAACAUGGGGGGAAGGUGAGGAUCCGUUUUCAUCAUAGACAACAUCAAGGUCGUCCCUAUACGGGUUCCAUCUUUAUUGUCACUUUAUUGUCCAUCUAACUCUGUAGUGUUAGUCCGUCUAACUUCUAUAGUUGUAGUCUGUCUAACUCUAUAGUGUAGUCCAUCUAAACUCUGUAGUGUAGUCCGUCUAACUUCUGUAGUGUAGUCCGUCUAACUCUGUAGUGUAGUCCGUCUAACUCUGUAGUGUAGUCCGUCUAACUCUGUACUGUAGUCCGUCUAACUCUGUAGUGUAGUCCGUCUAACUCUGUAGUGUAGUCCGUCUAACUCUGUA